ACGGGAGGCAGCAGUGGGGGAUAUUGCACAAUGGGGGAAACCCUGAUGCAGCGACGCCGCGUGAGCGAAGAAGUAUUUCGGUAUGUAAAGCUCUAUCAGCAGGGAAGAAAAUGACGGUACCUGACUAAGAAGCCCCGGCUAACUACGUGCCAGCAGCCGCGGUAAUACGUAGGGGGCAAGCGUUAUCCGGAUUUACUGGGUGUAAAGGGAGCGUAGACGGCAAGGCAAGUCUGAUGUGAAAUCCCGGGGCUCAGCCCCGGUGCUGCAUUGGAAACUGUCUAGCUAGAGUGCAGGAGAGGUAAGUGGAAUUCCUAGUGUAGCGGUGAAAUGCGUAGAUAUUAGGAGGAACACCAGUGGCGAAGGCGGCUUACUGGACUGUAACUGACGUUGAGGCUCGAAAGCGUGGGGAGCAAACAGGAUUAGAUACCCUGGUA
This 434-nucleotide ribosomal RNA is filed under the name uncultured Lachnospiraceae bacterium. Its description in RNAcentral is "partial 16S ribosomal RNA". It matches the Rfam family "Bacterial small subunit ribosomal RNA", at positions 341 to 792 of the family's 1533-position model. The record is from RNAcentral. Lineage: Bacteria; Bacillati; Bacillota; Clostridia; Lachnospirales; Lachnospiraceae.